UACGUAGGGUGCAAGCGUUAAUCGGAAUUACUGGGCGUAAAGCGUGCGCAGGCGGCUAUGCAAGACAGAUGUGAAAUCCCCGGGCUCAACCUGGGAACUGCAUUUGUGACUGCAUGGCUAGAGUACGGUAGAGGGGGAUGGAAUUCCGCGUGUAGCAGUGAAAUGCGUAGAUAUGCGGAGGAACACCGAUGGCGAAGGCAGCCCCCUGGGCCAACACUGACGCUCAGGCACGAAAGCGUGGGGAGCAAACAGG
Molecule: ribosomal RNA, 253 nt
Filed under: uncultured bacterium
Lineage: Bacteria
Description: partial 16S ribosomal RNA
Rfam family: Bacterial small subunit ribosomal RNA
Source: RNAcentral